CUGGACACUACCUCUGCGUGGCAUCCAACUCAGCUGGCUCUGACCGGCAAGGCCUAGACCUCAGAGUCCUUGGUGCUCUGGAGAUUGAGCAGGCCCUUCCUAUCCACGCUGGCCGAUACACUUGCACAGCUCGCAAC
Molecule: long non-coding RNA, 137 nt
Filed under: Cricetulus griseus (Chinese hamster)
Lineage: Eukaryota; Metazoa; Chordata; Mammalia; Rodentia; Cricetidae
Description: lncRNA (ENSCGRG00000025179.1)
Source: RNAcentral